AACAAAUUUCUCAACUCUCAUUCACUAUAACAAAACUAAAAUCCAUUAAGCAUUUGUCAAGUGGCAUUCAAGGUAAUGUCAUAAGAAACCAGGGAUAAAUUUUGACAAGUUGCAAGUGAUGGCACCAUUUUGUCAAAGCUAUGAUUAACUUAUAGACAAACGAACACAAAAAAUGAAAAUUUGACUAAAUAGCAUAGGUUCUUCUUUGGAAUUCUAAGGAACAGGAGGGAGAAAAAACAUUGAAACGCAAAACAACAGCAAAACCAUACUAAUUGAAAAGUAAUGAAGCAAAAUUUAAACAAUGAGGCAAGAACAUCACCGGUAGUACAAAUUACAGAAGCAAACAUCACCGGCCUCUUGUAACUUGUUCUUCCAACUCCUCAACUGACGAAGGAAACAAUUCUAUAUAACGACUUCCUAGAGUCAUCCUAUCCUUAGCCAUUGCUGCUUUUGAAUCUUCUGCACUUGCAAAUUCCACAAAUGCUUCCCCAGUUGGCCUCCCCUCUGAGUUCAUUGUAAUAUGAACCGACUCCUCUGACAACACAAAAUCUUUGAAGAACUCCAUUAUGUCAUCCUUGCCAGCAGAAAAUGGCAGUCCCCUCAACCGUAAUACCCCUGUAUGUUCAGCUGAGUCCUUCCCCUCGUCAUAAGAUUUAGCCCUCGGAGCAUUUUGCCUUGGUGAACCACCACGAGCAUCUGAAACUUCAUUUGCAAUUGCCUUGUAAUAAUCCUGUCUCUUACUUCUGAAAACCUCAACAUAUCGCCUGCCCAUGUUCUGCCUAUUCUUUUGAAGAGCAAAAUCAACUUGAAGAGGAUAACCCAAAACACAAAAAGCUUCACCAGUGAACUUGCCACCCCUGUGGACAAAAAGAACAUCAACUAUGUCCAGACCAUGGAAGAACUCAGCCACAUCAGUUUCUGUGCAAUCAAAGGGGAGUCCACGGAGUCGGACAACAGGGAAAGGUGGAGGCUGGGCAACAUAUCCAUAAGGUGGUGGAUUGUACAUAAAACUUGAACCAGGGGAAGUUCCAUAGAAUGAAGGACCCUGAUCAAGUAACCGCUGACGUUUUGCACCCAUUUCACGACCAUCGCCACCAUCAGGAUAUCUACUUUAAUUUCCAAAAACCAUUAAAACAAGAAAAGAUAAGUAAUUCAUCAAUGCUUUGUACACAUAAUUAUGCAAAAACAAAGAGCAACUAUAUUCAACUAUGUUAAGAAAUAUAGAUGUUUUGUUCCUUUUAUUCUUUUCUCAAUCAGAAAAACAAAAAAGAAACCUCAUAACACAGGAGGUAAAAAUGACAUCCAAGAGCCUCAAAUUAACACAUGGGUUGGUGAUUUUGCAUGAAAAUAUUGAAAUAUUACCUUUUAAUAAUGACAAGUUGAAAUUUUCUUUUCAAAAAUUCAUUUCUGAUGCCAUCAUUGUGUCAUUUCACUAGAUCCAUUCCUACAAUGUAAUUAGAGCUUCAUUGAGAGUUAUUUUUUUCAUCUCUCUUUUUAUAUUCAAGUGUCCAUGGUUAAUUCACUUGGUCUGUAUGCCUUGGUUCCAUCCAUAUCAUUGACUGGGGCAAUCAUAUCUUUCAAAAAAUUGAUAUCUUGAUUUAUGCAUCUGAUAACAGGCCCAUGCCCAGUAUUUUCUUUCUUAUUGCAAAUUUUAUUUGGAAAAUCAGAUAAUUCACUUCUAGUAUCCAAUUUUCAAAUAAAAACAAGAUUGUUGCCAUUUAACGCUAUAUGCACAAGCAUCCAUGUAACACCCACUAGAUGGAAAGACAUCUAGAUUAGAAGCUGCCUGGAACAAAUAAUAGCGUGGCUAACUGGCAAAAUAGUUUGCUUAGUUUCACUUGAGAUUGCCAUGGCAUCUCUUGAAGAAAAAACAUGUUUUUUGUGUGGCUUCCUACCAAAAAGACAUAAUUCACCUGCUGACUUUUUGUUCUAAAGCCACCAAUAUGUCAUUGUAUUCAUUAUAAACUAUUAACACCACAAUUAUUUCUUUCUUUUGUCUAUAGUCUCUUGAGCUCUGAAGCAACAACGCUAGCUUUGAGCCUAAUGUCUAUCCUCCUCCAAAUAAGGUACACCAUUUUCCUAUGAGGCCUGAAACUGUUUUCUCAUUUUGUCUCUAAAGGUCCACAGGCUUUGCCUUGUCCCCUCAAUUUUGUUCCAAACAAUCUAUUGAUUAUUAGCCCUAAUAGUCCCUUUCAUUGAUUGUAUGGAGCUCCUUCUGACUUUAAAUAAAAGCCAGAUCCAAACCUCAACCAUUUAGUCUUCAUUUAUGCCUAAAGCUUAAUACAAAUUCCUCAAAUGAACUAACAGCAGCUUCAAAAAUAAUUCAAACCAAUAAUAAUUGGUAAAGAUAGGUCAUUCUUAACCAUCAAAGCUGACAAUUGGUGAAGCAAAAUUGACACACAUCUAAAUAUCAACCCAACCAAAAAUCUACAAUGCUCACCUCACAUUCCUUAUUGCACACAAUUCUAUCACCGAAUGAAAGUGUACAUUAGUCUAUUUGCAGAGAAAUUCAAUCUGAAAACAAACAUGAAUUGCAAACCAAUGGACAAAUGAAUAUUGUCACUCUCUACUCUGUGGAUUGGUCAAAAACAGCCAAAAGCAGUGAGUUGCUGACCAGAUUGUGACAACCCUUACCCAGGGGGUUGCCAUAAUACCAACCUACCCAUCGAUGAGCCUAAUGUUAGUGGUGUUGAUAGCAUAGGUGGUCUGCUGGUAUUCCCAUCAUGGACUAAUUCAAACCAUAGUUUGAACCCAGCCAAGUGCCCCACGAAGGACAAUUUAACAAACCCUGGCAUAGGAAUUUUAAAGGCGAGGUGACGGAAAGGAACCUUAAUUACCUUCACUUGGGUUGGAUGUCUUGCGAUUUUUAAAGAAAUAGGAAGUUAAAGGCUGUAAGGAUUUAAAGACAUAACAUUACAAGCUUCAACCCUCAAUUUGGGAUUAAAAUUACCACGGAAAAAGAAAAUAAAUCCUAAAAACCAUCGCUUUAACUAAAAAAUAAGCAUUUCGAGGAAAUACAGAUCAAACUAAACAAGUGCAAAAUAGACCCAGAUAAGAUUACAAAGGGGGGGAAAAUCAUAUAUAUUGGAUUGUUGAUGUAGCACAGGUUAAUAAACAAAGAAUUAAUAGCAGGUAGCAUAAUGAGAAAAACAAAGAAUCAAGAGGACGACGAAAUAAAUUGACGAAACCCCAACUGCAAGGCUUGAUUUAACAAUGGAGAAAAAAAAUAAAAGAGAG
Molecule: unclassified non-coding RNA, 3237 nt
Filed under: Hevea brasiliensis (rubber tree)
Lineage: Eukaryota; Viridiplantae; Streptophyta; Magnoliopsida; Malpighiales; Euphorbiaceae
Source: RNAcentral